RNAcentral lists this ribosomal RNA (254 nucleotides) under uncultured bacterium. RNAcentral describes it as "partial 16S ribosomal RNA". It matches the Rfam family "Bacterial small subunit ribosomal RNA", at positions 524 to 776 of the family's 1533-position model. The record is from RNAcentral.
UACGUAGGGACCAAGCGUUGUUCGGAGUUACUGGGCGUAAAGCGCGCGUAGGCGGGCUGUUAAGUGAGAGGUGAAAGGCUGGGGCUUAACCCCAUGCAGUGCCUCUCAUACUGGCGGUCUUGAGUGCGGCAGGGAGAAGUGGAAUGGCUGGUGUAGCGGUGAAAUGCGUAGAUAUCGGGAGGAACACCAGUGGCGAAGGCGGCUUUCUGGCCCGUUCUUGACGCUGAGGCGCGAAAGCUAGGGUAGCAAACGGG